GAGUUUGAUCAUGGCUCAGAACGAACGCUGGCGGCGUGGAUAAGACAUGCAAGUCGAACGGGAGAAUUGCUAGCUUGCUAAUAAUUCUCUAGUGGCGCACGGGUGAGUAACACGUGAGUAACCUGCCCCCGAGAGCGGGAUAGCCCUGGGAAACUGGGAUUAAUACCGCAUAGUAUCGAAAGAUUAAAGCAGCAAUGCGCUUGGGGAUGGGCUCGCGGCCUAUUAGUUAGUUGGUGAGGUAACGGCUCACCAAGGCGAUGACGGGUAGCCGGUCUGAGAGGAUGUCCGGCCACACUGGAACUGAGACACGGUCCAGACACCUACGGGUGGCAGCAGUCGAGAAUCAUUCACAAUGGGGGAAACCCUGAUGGUGCGACGCCGCGUGGGGAUGAAGGUCUUCGGAUUGUAAACCCCUGUCAUGUGGGAGCGAAAUUAAAAAGAUAGUACCACAAGAGGAAGAGACGGCUAACUCUGUGCCAGCAGCAGCCGCGGUAAC
Molecule: ribosomal RNA, 496 nt
Filed under: uncultured microorganism
Description: bacterial SSU rRNA
Rfam family: Bacterial small subunit ribosomal RNA
Source: RNAcentral